This 68-nucleotide transfer RNA is filed under the name Cyphoderus albinus. Its description in RNAcentral is "tRNA-Asn". The record is from RNAcentral. Lineage: Eukaryota; Metazoa; Arthropoda; Collembola; Entomobryomorpha; Paronellidae.
UAAAAUGAAACCAAAACAGCGGUGUGUCAUUGUUAAUGAUAAUUAGAAUUUAAACAUUUCCAUUUUAA